RNAcentral lists this ribosomal RNA (498 nucleotides) under uncultured bacterium. RNAcentral's name for it is "bacterial SSU rRNA". It matches the Rfam family "Bacterial small subunit ribosomal RNA", at positions 29 to 524 of the family's 1533-position model. The record is from RNAcentral.
AUUGAACACUGGCGGCAUGCUUAACACAUGCAAGUCGAACGCGAACGGGCUUCGGCCCAAGUAGAGUGGCGGACGGAUGAGUAAUGCGUGGGAAUCUACCCUCGAGCGGGGGACAACCCGGGGAAACCCGGGCUAAUACCGCAUACGUCCUACGGGAGAAAGCGGGCCUCUACACUAUGCUCGCACUCGAGGAUGAGCCCACGUCCGAUUAGCUAGUUGGUAGGGUAACGCCUACCAAGGCCACGAUCGGUAGCUGGUCUGAGAGGAUGAUCAGCCACACUGGGACUGAGACACGGCCCAGACUCCUACGGGAGGCAGCAGUGGGGAAUAUUGGACAAUGGGCGCAAGCCUGAUCCAGCAAUGCCGCGUGUGUGAAGAAGGCCUGCGGGUUGUAAAGCACUUUCAGUGGGGAAGAACGGAUACGGGCCAAUACCCCGCAUCACUGACGUUACCCACAGAAGAAGCACCGGCUAACUCCGUGCCAGCAGCCGCGGUAAU